This 480-nucleotide ribosomal RNA is filed under the name Escherichia coli. RNAcentral's name for it is "partial 23S ribosomal RNA". It matches the Rfam family "Bacterial large subunit ribosomal RNA", at positions 2349 to 2833 of the family's 2925-position model. Lineage: Bacteria; Pseudomonadati; Pseudomonadota; Gammaproteobacteria; Enterobacterales; Enterobacteriaceae. The record is from RNAcentral.
GUGCAAUGGCAUAAGCCAGCUUGACUGCGAGCGUGACGGCGCGAGCAGGUGCGAAAGCAGGUCAUAGUGAUCCGGUGGUUCUGAAUGGAAGGGCCAUCGCUCAACGGAUAAAAGGUACUCCGGGGAUAACAGGCUGAUACCGCCCAAGAGUUCAUAUCGACGGCGGUGUUUGGCACCUCGAUGUCGGCUCAUCACAUCCUGGGGCUGAAGUAGGUCCCAAGGGUAUGGCUGUUCGCCAUUUAAAGUGGUACGCGAGCUGGGUUUAGAACGUCGUGAGACAGUUCGGUCCCUAUCUGCCGUGGGCGCUGGAGAACUGAGGGGGGCUGCUCCUAGUACGAGAGGACCGGAGUGGACGCAUCACUGGUGUUCGGGUUGUCAUGCCAAUGGCACUGCCCGGUAGCUAAAUGCGGAAGAGAUAAGUGCUGAAAGCAUCUAAGCACGAAACUUGCCCCGAGAUGAGUUCUCCCUGACUCCUUGAGA